GACGAAGGAUGCAAGCGUUAUCCGGAUUUAUUGGGCGUAAAGAGCGCGUAGGCGGCCGAGUAAGUCCGACGUGAAAUCUGGAGGCUCAACCUCCAGCGGUCGUUGGAAACUACUCGGCUAGAGUCCGGAAGAGGAGAGUGGAAUUCCUGGUGUAGCGGUGAAAUGCGCAGAUAUCAGGAAGAACACCGAUGGCGAAAGCAGCUCUCUGGGACGGUACUGACGCUGAGGCGCGAAAGCGUGGGGAGUGAACAGG
This 253-nucleotide ribosomal RNA is filed under the name uncultured bacterium. RNAcentral describes it as "partial 16S ribosomal RNA". It matches the Rfam family "Bacterial small subunit ribosomal RNA", at positions 524 to 776 of the family's 1533-position model. The record is from RNAcentral.